AUGUGUGAAUCACCUCCGCUGUCUGCUGUCGAUGGGGAGGAGCAGCAGGGGCUAGCAGGGCAUGUUGUGAUCUGUGGGGGAAACCGGAGUACCCGGAGGAAACCCACGCAUGCAUGGGGAGAACACGCAACUCCACGCAGAAAGGCCAUCCAAUGGAUGGAUGGAUUUAUAGCAGCUGUGAGUAAAAACAAACCUGCAACCAUCUUCUAGAUAUUACUGCCAUCUAGUGGUCAGAUAGCACAACUAACUCACCCAGCUGACUUUUCCAUUAGUGUUAUUAAGUCAGUUUAACCUGUAACAAUUUCUGUUUGUGAGUUGAUGAGUUCAGAUUUUAACAGCUAAUCGUUGGUUCAGCGUCUGAAUCAACGCAUUUUACUCCAAGCUGUUGAAAAUAUAAAAUAAUCAACAUUUUAGUUUAAACUUCACAUAAAUAAAAGUUCUAACAAUGUAAUUUAAAAUAAAAGCAAACAAUGAAAUACCUUUGGAUUGCAGUAACAGACUUAAAUUAGGAGAUCUCUGCAGCCUUCCUAAGUAGAUCCUAUCAUUUAUACAUAUUUGUUCAUCUGAUCUUUGAAAUGAUAAAUUAGUACAAACACGAGUCUAAUUCUGUUUUGCUUCCUAUAAUAAAUCAGCAACAGAAAUAGAAAAAUAUGUAAUUUUAUAAUUUAGUAAAAAAAUAAAACGGGAACAAUUCGGUAAACAUCUGGAAACAUACUGGAAAUCAUACCGAAACAGAAACACUAACACAACACUUGAAUAACAAUGACGACACAGGCAGCAUAAAGUUCACUGAGUCAGAAACAGAAGGCAGCAUAGCUUUUAUGGACAUGAAAAUAAGCAGGCAGACCGACAGGACCCUAAACAUAAACACAUACAGGAAACCAACACACACAGACCAAUAUCUGUUAUGGACAUCAGAACACCCCACCAUACACAAAAUGUCAGUAAUCAGAACAUUAUACCAUCGAACAAACAUGGUAACUGUAAAGGAGGGUUUGGUUAUUGGUUAAAGCUAGCUCUUUCCAGGUGAGGUGGUUAUCAAUAUGGUGUAUCUGUUAGAAUACAGGUAGAGGCUAGAUGCAUCCUUUGCUGUAGAUCCAAAUCUUGAAUCUUGGUUGAUGGUAAUCAUUAACAGCAUUGACAACAGUCUGAAACAGUAAACAUAAUUAUUAAGAUAAGAGACAAUUCCGGUGACAGCAAAUUCUCUUACAGAAUAUAAAAUUAUCCAAUAUCGUACUGAACUAACCAUAUGUCACAUAUGUCUUAAAAUGAAUUACUAAUGAUCCUUCUCAUUCAAUACAGAAAGGGGGAAUGAGGCAAAACACAUUUAUCUUAAUUAACCAACUUACAAUCUAACAGAGAAAUUCAAACAAUAGCACCCUCUUGUGGCUAUCUAAGAUCUCCAUAACUCACUCGUGUGACACUGUCAGCCUUUACUCACUAGAGCAAUUAUAAGGUGGAACUAGAAAUGAAAUGUAACAAAAUAACUCCUCAUGUCAUUAACAUCAAGGCUAAACAACUUUAAAUAUUUUUUAUAAAAGGAAAGAAACGUGUUGGACAUAAACACUUCAGUAAUUCAAUACUCAACUAAUAUUCCAUAAUUAAACGGAGGAACUUAAUAAUGCAGUCUUAAACAUGAAGUAAAGUGACUCACAUUCUUGCAUUAACAUAAUG
Molecule: long non-coding RNA, 1674 nt
Filed under: Nothobranchius furzeri (turquoise killifish)
Lineage: Eukaryota; Metazoa; Chordata; Actinopteri; Cyprinodontiformes; Nothobranchiidae
Description: lncRNA (ENSNFUG00015023909.1)
Source: RNAcentral